GACGAACGCUGGCGGCACGCCUAACACAUGCAAGUCGAACGGAACCUAUUGAAAGCUUGCUUUCAAGAAAGUUUAGUGGCGAACGGGUGAGUAACACGUGAGCAAUCUACCUUUAAGAGGGGGAUAACAUUUGGAAACAAAUGCUAAUACCGCAUAAAAUAGUAACCUGGCAUCAGGAAACUAUCAAAGAUUUUAUCGCUUAAAGAUGAGCUCGCGCCUAAUUAGAUAGUUGGUGAGGUAAUGGCUCACCAAGUCAACGAUUAGUAGCCGGACUGAGAGGUUGAUCGGCCACAUUGGGACUGAGACACGGCCCAGACUCCUACGGGAGGCAGCAGUGGGGAUAUUGCACAAUGGAGGAAACUCUGAUGCAGCGAUGCCGCGUGAGGGAAGAAGGUCUUCGGAUUGUAAACCUCUGUUAUUAGGGAAGAAACAAAUGACGGUACCUAAUGAGGAGCCACGGCUAACUAUGUGCCAGCCGCCGCAGUAAACCUGAGACUACCAA
This 502-nucleotide ribosomal RNA is filed under the name uncultured Oscillospiraceae bacterium. RNAcentral's name for it is "bacterial SSU rRNA". It matches the Rfam family "Bacterial small subunit ribosomal RNA", at positions 28 to 537 of the family's 1533-position model. Lineage: Bacteria; Bacillati; Bacillota; Clostridia; Eubacteriales; Oscillospiraceae. The record is from RNAcentral.